AGACGUAGGGGGCAAGCGUUACCCGGAAUUACUGGGCGUAAAGGGGGCGUAGGCGGUAAAAGAAGUCAUCUGUGAAAACCUAUUGCUCAACGAUAGGCUAGCGGAUGAAACUGAAUUACUUGAGGGCACCAGAGGUAGACGGAAUUACCCGAGUAGGGGUGAAAUCCGCAGAUACGGGUAGGAACGCCGGUGGAGAAGUCGGUCUACUGGGGGGCACCAGACGCUGAGGCCCGAAAGCUAGGGGAGCAAACCGGAUUAGAUACCCGGGUAGUCCUAGCCGUAAACGAUGCUCACUAGGUGUAGGGAGUGAUAAACUCUCUGUGCUGAAGCGAACGCGCUAAGUGAGCCGCCUGGGGAGUACGUCCGCAAGGAUGAAACUCAAAUGAAUUGACGGGG
Molecule: ribosomal RNA, 396 nt
Filed under: uncultured bacterium
Lineage: Bacteria
Description: partial 16S ribosomal RNA
Rfam family: Bacterial small subunit ribosomal RNA
Source: RNAcentral